This 1440-nucleotide ribosomal RNA is filed under the name uncultured prokaryote. Its description in RNAcentral is "partial 16S ribosomal RNA". It matches the Rfam family "Bacterial small subunit ribosomal RNA". The record is from RNAcentral.
CCUGGCUCAGAUUGAACGCUGGCGGCAUGGCUAAAGCAUGCAAGUCGAGCGAGAAUCUAACUUCGGUUAGAGGACAGCGGCGAAAGGGCGAGUAACGCGAUCGUACGUACCCCAAGGUGGAGGAUAGUCACGGGAAACUGUGCGUAAUACUCCAUGUGCUCUAAGGAGGAAAGGCUUCGGCCGCCUCGGGAGCGGCGAUCGUCCUAUCAGCUUGUUGGUGAGGUAAAGGCUCACCAAGGCUUAGACGGGUAGCGGGUGUGAGAGCAUGACCCGCCGCAUCGGGACUGAGACACUGCCCGGACUCCUACGGGAGGCUGCAGCGACGAAUAUUCCGCAAUGGGCGAAAGCCUGACGGAGCAAUGCCGCGUGUAGGAUGAAGCGCCUUCGGUGUGUAAACUACUGUCAGGGACUAGAACCAACGAUCAGUCCCAGAGGAAGGACCGGCUAAUUCCGUGCCAGCAGCCGCGGUAAUACGAGGGGUCCAAGCGUUAAUCGGAAUCACUGGGCUUAAAGGGUACGUAGGCGGCCUUGUAAGCAUCUCGUGAAAUCCCACGGCUCAACCGUGGAAUUGCGGGGUGAACUGCAAGGCUUGAGGCAGGUAGAGGUCGUCGGAACGAUCGGUGGAGCGGUGAAAUGCGUUGAUAUCGAUCGGAACGCCGAAGGAGAAGUCAGGCGACUGGGCCUGUCCUGACGCUGAGGUACGAAAGCGUGGGUAGCGAACGGGAUUAGAUACCCCGGUAGUCCACGCCCUAAACGAUGUGCACUAGAUCGAGGCGGCUCUGACGUCGUCUCGGCCGAAGCGAAAGCGUUAAGUGCACCGCCUGGGGAGUACGGUCGCAAGGCUAAAACUCAAAGGAAUUGACGGGGGCUCACACAAGCGGUGGAGCAUGUGGCUUAAUUCGAUGCAACGCGAAGAACCUUAUCCUGGGUUUGACAUGUAUGGAUUAGCUCUGUGAAACAUGAGUGACGCUCUUCGGAGUGGAACGUGCACAGGUGCUGCAUGGCUGUCGUCAGCUCGUGCUGUGAAGUGUCGGGUUAAGUCCCUUAACGAGCGCAACCCCUAUCGCUAGUUGCCAGCGGGUAAAGCCGGGGACUCUAGCGAGACUGCCGGUGUCAAACCGGAGGAAGGUGGGGACGACGUCAAGUCAUCAUGGCCUUUAUGUCUUGGGCUGCAAACGUGCUACAAUGGCGUAUACAAAGCGAGGCGAUGUCGCGAGGCGGAGCAAAUCGCAAAAAGUACGCCCCAGUUCGGAUUGCAGGCUGCAACUCGCCUGCAUGAAGUCGGAAUCGCUAGUAAUCGGAGAUCAGCUACGCUCCGGUGAAUGUGUCCCUGAGCCUUGUACACACCGCCCGUCACGUCAUGGAAGCCGGGAGUGCCCGAAGUCGCCUCGAUUCAGGGGUGCCUACGGCAAGCUCGGUGACUGGGACGAAGUCGUAACA